RNAcentral lists this ribosomal RNA (253 nucleotides) under uncultured bacterium. RNAcentral's name for it is "partial 16S ribosomal RNA". It matches the Rfam family "Bacterial small subunit ribosomal RNA", at positions 524 to 776 of the family's 1533-position model. The record is from RNAcentral.
UACGUAGGGUGCAAGCGUUAAUCGGAAUUACUGGGCGUAAAGCGUACGCAGGCGGUGAUGUAAGACAGAUGUGAAAUCCCCGGGCUCAACCUGGGAACUGCAUUUGUGACUGCAUCGCUGGAGUACGGCAGAGGGGGAUGGAAUUCCGCGUGUAGCAGUGAAAUGCGUAGAUAUGCGGAGGAACACCGAUGGCGAAGGCAAUCCCCUGGGCCUGUACUGACGCUCAUGCACGAAAGCGUGGGGAGCAAACAGG